This 433-nucleotide ribosomal RNA is filed under the name uncultured bacterium. RNAcentral describes it as "partial 16S ribosomal RNA". It matches the Rfam family "Bacterial small subunit ribosomal RNA", at positions 29 to 507 of the family's 1533-position model. The record is from RNAcentral.
AGCGAACGCUGGCGGCAGGCCUAACACAUGCAAGUCGAACGAACCUUUCGGGGUUAGUGGCGGACGGGUGAGUAACACGUGGGAACGUGCCUUUAGGUUCGGAAUAACUCAGGGAAACUUGUGCUAAUACCGAAUGUGCCCUUCGGGGGAAAGAUUUAUCGCCUUUAGAGCGGCCCGCGUCUGAUUAGCUAGUUGGUUGAGGUAAUGGCUCACCAAGGCGACGAUCAGUAGCUGGUCUGAGAGGAUGAUCAGCCACAUUGGGACUGAGACACGGCCCAAACUCCUACGGGAGGCAGCAGUGGGGAAUCUUGCGCAAUGGGCGAAAGCCUGACGCAGCCAUGCCGCGUGAAUGAUGAAGGUCUUAGGAUUGUAAAAUUCUUUCACCGGGGACGAUAAGACGGUACCCGGAGAAGAAGCCCCGGCUAACUUCGUG